RNAcentral lists this long non-coding RNA (1434 nucleotides) under Equus asinus (donkey). RNAcentral's name for it is "lncRNA (ENSEASG00005028315.1)". The record is from RNAcentral. Lineage: Eukaryota; Metazoa; Chordata; Mammalia; Perissodactyla; Equidae.
AUCCAUGGCCCCUGCUGAGAACCAGACAAACCCUUUGCUUCAGCCUCCAUCAUAUUACCCUUCCUCACAACUCCAGCAAUCUUCCCACCUUCCAUCAGACUCUAACCUCUUUGGAGGGUAGGGUUUUUAGUACCUUGAUGGUCAAGAGCAUUGGAUUUGGAGCCAGAAGGAUCUUUAGCAUCAAUAUCUGUGAAAGGAAGGAGAAGAAAGCAGAAUUGGGAGGAGAAGUUGAGAUGCCAUGAAGUCCCAAUGAAGACCUCAGCUGCCUCCCAUGGAGCUCUAGUGCUGGGAUGCUCCUUCAGAGUGUCCUGAGCUGGAGUGAGAGCUCUGGGCCUUCAUAUAACCAUGUGGAUGAGUCAUUGGUUGUGGCAUGUUACCAGGCAUGACCUUUUGCAAGCUAGCUCUCCUCACCUGAGGCAAUUCCAAAGAGGGCUGACAGCUGAGGGCCGUCUUCUCCAGACUGGUGCAUCACAACAUCCACCAGCCUCUUCAGAAUGUCUUCCACCUGGGAAUCCUUGGACUUAGGAAAGGUUGUAAUUCCCCCACUGUGAGAUCCUCAAACAACCUCACCUCACCCGGGUAACCUAAAGUUCUUGGGGCCCACUUGUUCUGACCUGCACUUUACCAAUUGGAGAAAUUUAGGAUGAAUAUUAUGGAGGACUGAGGAGCAGCUUCCUCUGGGAUCUCUGAGUGCCUGGGUCUGGAGUGAACUCUGACAGAGGACAGAGGAAGGAGGAGAAGGAAGCUCAGAUGUGUGGAGUGAGGUAAAACUUGAGUAUAUUAACACAGAAGUCUCCCACAUUUCCUUGUGUUGUUCCUCUAGAAGGUGCAAGAAGCAGACAUCCAACUGAGGACAAAAUGAAUCAGUUGUUAAACAUUUGCCAUCUCACCACUGGACAUAAGCAUGUUGAAGGAGGAAUUGAAUAGGAGAAAAGAGAUAAAGAGAAAUCAAAGAUGACUCCAAGGCUUUUGGACUGACAGCACGUUACCGUGAGCAACAGAAUUUGGAAGGAUGCAAGAUGAUAGAAGAAUUUAAGAGUUCACAUCACAGAGAGAGGAGGGAAAACUUCUUUUUGGGUUUGAGGAAAAGGACAUUUAGGGAAAGAAGAAAGAGAAUAAAUUUUUAUUCUUAAAAUCAGGAUGGGGGGUUCACUUGACCUCAAGAGGUGAUAGAGAACCUCAAUAAGGUUGUGAAGUCGAGGAUAGACCAGAGCCCAGAAGACAGAAUAACUCUGGAUGCAUGGAAUAAGGUGCUUCAUGCACAAGUCCCAAGGCGAUGGAUGAGAGCUAUCCUGAUAUGGGUAGAUUGGACUUGUUUCUCACAUUCUAGGGAGAUGAGGAGCUAGUUCCCAUGGCCACUGCUCAGGACCAUGUAUGAAGACCCAGCUCUGGGGGCAUCGCGGACUGUGGGAAGGAACAGCAGGAGAGUGUGAG